This 433-nucleotide ribosomal RNA is filed under the name uncultured bacterium. Its description in RNAcentral is "partial 16S ribosomal RNA". It matches the Rfam family "Bacterial small subunit ribosomal RNA", at positions 29 to 507 of the family's 1533-position model. The record is from RNAcentral.
AACGAACGCUGGCGGCAUGCCUAACACAUGCAAGUCGAACGAGACCUUCGGGUCGGGUGGCGCACGGGUGCGUACCGGGUGGUAACACGUCCUUAGGCUCCGAAUAACUCCGCGAAAGGCGUGCGAAAACCGGAUAAAUACUUCGUACCAAAGAGUUAUCGCGUUUGGAUGGGCCCGCGGUGGAGUAGCUAGAUGGUAGCGUAAACGCAUACCAAGGCGACGAGACAUAGCUGGUCUGAGAGGAUGAUCAGUCACACUGGGACUGAGACACGGCCCAGACUCCUACGGGAGGCAGCGGUGGGGAAUAUUGGACAGUGGGCGAGAGCCUGAUCCAGCGAUGCCGCGUGGGUGAUGAAGGCCUUGGGGUGGUAAAGCUCUUUUACCCGGGAUGAUAAUGACAGUACCGGGAGAAUAAGCUCCGGCUAACUCCGUG